UUUUUUUUUUUUUUGAGGAACGGCCAUACUAUUCUUUGCUUUUUCAGUGCAUGUGAACAUUGCAUGCACCAAACUCUCCGGUAAAAUAUCAAUGAUCUGGCUUUGACAAAAUUGUUAACAAAUGCUUCAUUCGUCUGUAAAACAGUGACUUUUCUUCCUAAGAAUAAGUAACUUGCAAUAAUAAGUAAUAAGUAAUAAAUUGCAAAUUUAUUGCCCUUAUUUUUGAGGAUACUGUUACUAUUCAGCUAAGCACAAUUUUGUGUUUUCCGGAUGUACUUUCUAAUGUUGCCUGGACAAAGAGUCAACCAUAUCAUAUGGAAUCAGAAUUAAAUAAAAAUUGAGCAUUUCAUUUAAAAAAACAAAAAAACAAAAAAACAAACAAACAAAAAAACGCCUUUGUAACACCUUUGAAAGACCCCGACAAAAAAAAAAGAAAGAAAGACCCCGACAGGUGGGUCUCUCCUAUUCCCUCUAGGAGAGGAUGGCGCUGUAGUUGUACUUAUUGCCCACGAGGUGGCGCCUACACUUAAAAAAACCCCGCCUCUUCAAGCCAGUUCUCCAGCCUACCCAAAAAGUUCCGUGUGUCCUUUAGCCAAAAAAAGUUCAGUGUGUCCUUUAGCCAAAAGCAGGGCAUUUCCUCUUGGACACUCAGCAAAACUAAAGGCAGAAACAGCAGCUUUACACCCAAUACUCCUGUGACUGACCCAUAUCCAGAUACCCAUAGAGAUUAGGUUGUUCAUAACCUGAGAACUUUGUUUUUUCUUAAGACAGCUACUUAAAAUUCUAAUUGGUUCCUGUCACUGAAAACACAAGGAGAUAAGUGUCUAGGAUAUCAAAAUCAACAUUAUAUAAUAUAGUUUUGGAACAUAGGUGAGGUUUGGCAGGGGGAGGCCCAGAGCCAACUACCAAGAAAGAAUUCUUGGGGGCACCUGGGUGGCUCAGUGGUUGAGCAUAUGCCUUUGGCUCAGAUCGUGAUCCUGGAGUCCAGAGAUCCAGUCCCACGUCAGGCUCCCUGCAUGGAGCCUGUUUCUGUCUCUGCCUGUGUCUGCCUCUCUCUCUCUCUCUCUCUCUCUCUCUCAUGAAUAAAUAAAUAAAAUCUUUAAAAAAAUAAACAACAACAAAAAACCCAAAAUGGUGGUUUUAUUAAAGCAUGGGAACUAGACCGUGGGCAGAAAGAGCUGCUGUCUCAGGGUUGUGAGGGAUGAUUGAUUCUAUAAUUGGGAGUUAGGGGAGGUAAGGAAAAGGGAGAUUUUCAAAAAAACUUUCAUAGGCUAACGAGGACCUGCAAGAUACUGGAGGCAUUGCCAUUGUCAAGCUAAGAUUGUUUUUCCUUCUAGCAAGGCAUUAACAUUAAGACACUUGGGAGCUUUUUGGAGGAACAUUAUACUCUCCCUGACUCAAGUACUUGUCAAUGGGCUGCAGGUUAUAAGAACUUUUAAAUUAUCUACAUUUCCUUCUGGAAGUUAAGUUAUUGAUAAGAAUGUUUUGUUCUUUUAAAUUACUAAGACAUUUUGUAAACUGAGGGAGACUCAUGUCUUGCAGGACUGUGAUCUCUAAUAGUUAACCUUUUUUUUCUUCCCUUAGCUUUUCCUUAGUUUUUCCUUCCCUUAGCUUUAGGCAGCCAAGUAUGCCUGAGGAAGGUCACACAGGUCCUACCUAGGAGUGGGGGGAAAGGUGUGGGCUGUCAGCUUGUGCUUUGUCCUCAGCUUGCCUUCUGCUCCCUCAUCAUUAUAGACAGGUUUUCAUAGUUAGCAUUUCCUUGUAUUUCAUUGGUUUAAAGAGCAGAUGCUCUUAAAAUUACAAUAAGUUUGAUUCACAGGACCCCAGAGGCAAGAAACUUUACAUUUCUCUUUUUUCAAUACAUUCCUAAAAGGGCUCUUGGCAGCAAUGUUUGGAGUAAUAAAAGGUUGAUGAUAACUCAGAAGGGAAUUUGCCAGUCUCUGUGUCCCCUACUUACACAAAUUUCUUUUGGAGGUCUUUCCUUCUUAGCCCAGGUUGGACUGGAGGGUGUCUACUCCAUGUUAAAAGGAUGGACUAUUAUGACUCAGGUCUCAGUGAAUCGCCGCAUCUCCUAUUUCUGGCGACAGAUUGGAUUGGUCAGGGGAGACAUUUGGGAUGUCAAAUCAGUAGAACCAAUCAACAUGAACUUCAGGGUCUUUGCAGGAGCUAGCAAAAAGGGGCUUUCUCCUAGCCAGUGGAUUUGAGCAGGCAUGAGGCUAGAGUUCUUGAGGGCACUUGGCUCCAAGGAUCCAGACCCACCAGAACUAAAAUGGGUAUGGCCUGAAAAUUAAGCCCAUGUGGCAAAGGUGGAGCCAAGAGGUGGAAACUUUUCAAAAACUUCUGAAUCAAGCCAUGAUUCCAAGAUUUUGGAAUAUUUGGAAUAUUUUUUACACUAGUUGGGAUUUGGUUUUCUGACACUUGCAACUAAAUAUUAUCCUGUAGAGAAAAUAGUGUACUGUAUACUGUACAGAAAACCUUCCCAGAAGUAAUCUCACCAUACAUCAUGAGAUUUGGCGUAAAUUGGUGGUAAAUUCAGGCACUGGAAGGUAUCACUCUAAAAAGGAAUUUUCUUUAGCCUCGAGAACAUUGAAAAGACAUUAUCUUGAUGACUGUUAAAUCACAGGGUGGUGUUUCAUGACAGGGUAGGGGCUGCUAUUUGCCCCUAAUCCAUCUGCCUUUUCUUCUUUAGAAUGAAAUACUUCAAUUUUACCUAGGCACACAGAUACCCAGCUAAAAGACAGCUAGAUGUGGCCACAUGUCUAAAUCUUCUCCAAAAACAUAUAAAUGAAAGUAUUGUGUGUAACCUCUGGGAACUCUCCUUAUAGGGAAGAGGCUACCCUCUUUCUUUAUCCUUUUCACCAUCCUGCUACCUGGAAUGUUGAUGUGAUGGCUAGAAUGCUUAGGAGCCACAUUAAACCUUGAGGAUGCCCUACGGAUGAUGGAACACUGCAAUAGCAGGAGCCCAGGGUUCCUGAGUUUAGCUUUAACAGCUCUUCACUGCCUAUAUUUACAUUGUUUUUACUUGAGAGAAAAAUUAACUUUUAUCCUUGUUUGAACUAUUUUUGCUACACACGUGGACUGGAAACAAAAUUACAAGGGGUGGAAGAGACAGAGCUUUGUAACUCAGUGAGAGACCAAAGUAGCUAAAUAAAGAUUAACUUUGCUUCCAUAGUUCCUAAGUCAUUGUUCUUUCUAAGCAGUAAAACCAAACAUUAAGAGUGUUUAGUCCAUGGAGGGUGAUGCAAGUCCCAUAUAGUAUAAUCCCAUAAUCUGGGGAUGUCUAUCAUCCUAUUGUCACUCUUCACUUAGUUGCAUUCACUUGUUUCAUUAUCACCACGGCUAGACUGUACACACUGGGGCCUGAUCAUGUGCCCAGCUCGCUUGCUGCAGAAGCAGUGCCUAGCACAGUACCUGGCCUAGGAAAUGUGUUACUGAAGACUUACUAAAACAAGGAAUAGAUGAAUGAAUGGGAAAAAUUAAACUUUAAAAAAGAUCUUAGGGCUGUCUGGGUGGCUCAGUGGUUGAGCGUCUGCCUUCAGCUCAGAGCGCGAUCCCAGAGUUCCGGGAUCGAGUCCCAUAUUGGGCUCCUUGCAUGUAGCCUGCUUCUCCCUCUCCCUCUCUCUCUGCCUCUCUCUGUGUCUCUCAUGAAUAAAUAAAUAAAAAUCUUUAUAAAAUAAAAAAUAAAAAAGGUCUUAAGCUGCCAACAUGCUUUGUGAAAGUAUUGCUGCAAGGGGAUAGGUAUCUCCAUCCACGUUGGCUUGGGCAGGUCUCAAAUCUUAUCGUAGGUGUAAGUAAAGUAAUGAACCAAAGAUUAGGGAUUUGUUUAAUCUGAACUGCUGGAGGGAAACUCUUGGAGCCCAGGGUAGCAAGUAAUCCUGUUUCCCAAAGUAUGCUUCACCCAGCAAUGGGGUCACAGGGACAAUUUCAGUUGGUAUAAAGACAAGCUUUGUUUUGAUGAUUACAUAUUUGUAAAUUACCUAAAACUUGCAAAUGUGGACAAGAAGAUAAAUGUGUAUUCUUUCAACAUCAUGCCAAAACACUGUUAAUAGGUUUACCCAAAGACCUUCUAAUUCUCUAGGACAAAGGUUAGCAAACUAUGGCCAAGGGCCAAAUCUAACCUGUGGCCAGUUUUGUAGGGACCUUAAGCUAACAACAAGUUUUCCAUUUUUAAAGGCUUGUGAAAGACAAAAAUAAAAGAAUAUAUAACAAAAUAUAUAGCCUGCAGAGUCUAGCAUGUUCAUCUUGGCCUUUUAUAGAAAAAGCUUGCCACCUCUGCUCUAGGAGAUUAUAACAUUUUUUAAACUUGCUCUUUACUAAUUAAGAGCUCACACUCUGGGCAGCCCGGGUGGUCCAAUGGUUUAGCGCCACCUUCAGCCCAGGGUGUCCUCCUGGAGACCCGAGAUCGAGUCCUACGUCCGGCUCCCUGCAUGGAGCCUGCUUCUCCCUCUGCCUGUGUCUCUGCCUCUCUGUGUGUGUGUCUCUCUCUCUGUAUUUCUCAUGAAUAAAUAAAUAAAAUCUUAAAAAAAAAAAAAAAAAAAAA
RNAcentral lists this long non-coding RNA (4540 nucleotides) under Canis lupus familiaris (dog). RNAcentral describes it as "lncRNA (ENSCAFG00845019612.1)". Lineage: Eukaryota; Metazoa; Chordata; Mammalia; Carnivora; Canidae. The record is from RNAcentral.